CACAGCCCCUCUGGAGAAAGGGAGAAGAAUCUGCCCUCAACUCCCAUCUUGCUUUGGCUCACUCACGAGGCAUCCAUUCCCUGGAUGUGCUGGUCAUGCAUGGGUAGAUGCAGCGUCUCACCCCCAAACGGCCAGAGAAGCCCCAAAGGACUGACUGAGAGGUGCCUGUACGAGGGUCGCCUGGAGAGGUCCCUCCCUGUGGAAUCUGGAAAGGUCCCGGGGAAGUGACUCAGCAGAUAUCUGAUGAAGCUGAAGACGAGUGAGACUUGCCAGGCCCUUGUUUUCUUGCUGUAGCCCAGAGGUCCUGCAGCAGUGGAGCAGGCCUUGGUGGUGGC
Long non-coding RNA from Heterocephalus glaber (naked mole-rat), 335 nucleotides. Lineage: Eukaryota; Metazoa; Chordata; Mammalia; Rodentia; Bathyergidae. The record is from Ensembl.